GUGCUUCUGUGGUUCAUAAGCGUGAUGGCUGGGCUCAUGCGCAUGUAUGAGAUGUGCCACCCUUGAAACUGGUUAUGACGUCGGCACAUUACCCAUCUGACA
This is a small nucleolar RNA of Pongo abelii (Sumatran orangutan), 102 nucleotides long. The record is from Ensembl. NCBI's taxonomy places the organism in Eukaryota, Metazoa, Chordata, Mammalia, Primates, Hominidae.